Long non-coding RNA from Suricata suricatta (meerkat), 1130 nucleotides. RefSeq lists it as uncharacterized. The record is from RefSeq and is a predicted model, not a curated record. The transcript is spliced from 6 exons. NCBI's taxonomy places the organism in Eukaryota, Metazoa, Chordata, Mammalia, Carnivora, Herpestidae.
UAAGAAACCAGAUAACGGAACUACUUAAAGAAUGUCUAAGUUAAGAGCAACAUGAAUGGGCUUUUGAAGUCUUGAAGGACCAUGCUAUGAGCUACUGCCUCACAGCCAAGAACCCAGGCUCCCACCCUGAGUGUGUUGACAGAGUCACUGCUUUAUCUAAGCAUGGGUGGAGAAAUUCUUAAAAACAGCCAUUCAACCCAGAAGAGACCGUUCCAUUAAAAGUGUUGUCCAAGCGGAGUUACCGUUCACUUAGCCAGCCUGAAACACAGCCAGUAACUACGAAGCCUCUGACGGACUGUCCUAGGAUUGUCCCAGUGCUCCCGGUGGCGGCAUCGAAAUAAGCUCAUUUCGCCAAAAUUGGAGAAGGGGAAAUUGAUUGCACAUAUAAUUCCAUCUGCUUCUUGGAAGGCCUGAACCAAAAUACUCCCGAAGAAGAACCAUGAUGCCAGCAUGUAAGAUCAACAUUUUUCCGCACUCUGCUACACAGUGUGGACAAAGAGUUGCAGAUACAUGAGAAAUGGUGACGCAAAUGAUGAGGAAUGGGGCAUAAUGAUGUCCCAAGAAGAGACAACAUCAUGGUUGAAAGCUCAGAAGUCAACAAGAAUGGGGUGCGUUCAAGAAACCUACCGAAUCUCACGCAACACAAUGGGGAGAUGCAGGCUCUGACUUUAAGGACUUUUACCACUCAGUUAUCUCGUCCUAAAACCCAGCUUCCUCCCUUGCAUCCAACUGGUCGUACUAUUUCUCUCUGAAAUCUGCUCCCUCUUCCUCAUCUGCACAGAUGCAUCCUUCAUUUCAUCACUCCUUUCGCUUCCAGACCUCCACAAAGUCUUCCUGAAAGUCCCCCUGCUCCGAAGACCCUGAAGGCAGAGCAUCCCUAAUGGGAACUGAAACCCUUCUCCAGCCCCAGGAGCUGCCCUGAGAUUCAAGACCCGCUGCGUGAUUGACCCCAAGACAAUGAGCUGACUUUUACUGCCCAUUUUCAUGGACCCUCCGACCUUUGUCCCACAUUAUCCGUAUGUAAACCUAGAAGCAUUUUUGACACUUUGGAGACAGUCUUUGAGACACGAAUCCCCUGUCUUCACAGCAUUGGCCUUCCUGAAAUAAAUUCCUCUCCUUUUUCACCGCCA